GGGAGCUUGCUCCCUGAUAUCAGCGGCGGACGGGUGAGUAACACGUGGGUAACCUGCCUGUAAGACUGGGAUAACUCCGGGAAACCGGGGCUAAUACCGGAUAACUCAUUUCCUCGCAUGAGGAAAUGUUGAAAGGUGGCUUCUGCUACCACUUACCGAUGGGCCCGCGGCGCCUUUACUAGUUGGGGGGGGAACGGCUCCCCCAGGCCACGAUGCCUAGCCCACCUGGGAGGGUGGUCGGCCACCCUGGGACUGAAACCCCGCCCCAACUCCUACCGGAGGCAGCAGUAGGGAAUCUUUCGCCAUGGACGAAAGUCUGACGGAACCACCCCGCGUGAGUGAUGGAGGGUUUCCGAUCCUAAAGCUCUGGUGGUAAGGAAAAACCAGUGCCGGUCCAAUAGGGCGGCACCUUGGCGGUACCUAACCCAAAAGCCACGGCUUACUACGUGGCAGCAGCCGGCGUAAUACGUAGGUGGCAAGCGUUGUCCGGAAUUAUUGGGCGUAAAGCGCGCGCCGGGGGUUCCUUAAGUCUUAUGGGAAGCCCCCCGCUUCACCGUUGAGGGNCAUUGGAAACUGGGGAACUUGAGUGCCAAAGAAGGAAGGGAAUUUCCAGUGGUGCGGUGAAUGCGUAGAUUAUGGAGAACCCCGNGGCGAGGCGACUUUCUUGUCUGGUACUGACACCUGAAGCGCCAAAGCGUGGGGGCAACAGAAUAGAUACUCCUGAGUCCACGCGUAACCGAUGAGNCUAGUGUAGGGGCUCUAGUGCUGCAGCUACGCAUAAGCACUCGCUGGGAGUACUGUCGCAGACUGAUACUCUGAUAGUGAAAAGCCCCACGCGCUCAACCCGUGGGAAGGGGUCAUUGGAAAACUGGGGGAACCUUGAGGUGCAGAAAGAAGGAAAAGUGGAAUUCCCAAGUGUAGCGGUGAAAAUGCGAUAGAGAUUUUGGAGGAACACCCAGUGGCGAAAGGCGACUUUUCUGGUCUGUAACCUGACACUGAGGCGCGAAAAGCGUGGGGAGCAAACAGGAUUAGAUACCCUGGUAGUCCACGCCGUAAACCGAUGAGUGCUAAGUGUUAGGGGGUUUCCGCCCCUUAGUGCUGCAGCUAACGCAUUAAGCACUCCGCCUGGGGAGUACGGUCGCAAGACUGAAAACUCAAAGGAAUUUGACGGGGCCCCGCACAAGCGGUGGAGCAUGUGGUUUAAUUUCGAAGCAACGCGAAGAACCUUACCAGGUCUUGACAUCCUCUGACAACCCUAGAGAUAGGGCUUUCCCCUUCGGGGGACAGAGUGACAGGUGGUGCAUGGUUGUCGUCAGCUCGUGUCGUGAGAUGUUGGGUUAAGUCCCGCAACGAGCGCAACCCUUGAUCUUAGUUGCCAGCAUUCAGUUGGGCACUCUAAGAUGACUGCCGGUGACAAACCGGAGGAAGGUGGGGAUGACGUCAAAUCAUCAUGCCCCUUAUGACCUGGGCUACACACGUGCUACAAUGGACGGUACAAAGGGCAGCGAGACCGCGAGGUUUAGCCAAUCCCAUAAAACCGUUCUCAGUUCGGAUUGUAGGCUGCAACUCGCCUACAUGAAGCUGGAAUCGCUAGUAAUCGCGGAUCAGCAUGCCGCGGUGAAUACGUUCCCGGGCCUUGUACACACCGCCCGUCACCCCACGAGAGUUUGUAACACCCGAAGUCGUUGAGUUACGU
RNAcentral lists this ribosomal RNA (1696 nucleotides) under Bacillus sp. MB72. RNAcentral describes it as "bacterial SSU rRNA". It matches the Rfam family "Bacterial small subunit ribosomal RNA", at positions 74 to 1440 of the family's 1533-position model. Lineage: Bacteria; Bacillati; Bacillota; Bacilli; Caryophanales; Bacillaceae. The record is from RNAcentral.